This 301-nucleotide ribosomal RNA is filed under the name uncultured bacterium. Its description in RNAcentral is "partial 16S ribosomal RNA". It matches the Rfam family "Bacterial small subunit ribosomal RNA", at positions 509 to 807 of the family's 1533-position model. The record is from RNAcentral.
CAGCCGCCGCGGUAAUACGAAGGGUGCAAGCGUUAAUCGGAAUUACUGGGCGUAAAGCGUGCGUAGGCGGUUUGUUAAGUCUGCUGUGAAAUCCCCGGGCUCAACCUGGGAAUGGCAGUGGAUACUGGCAAGCUAGAGUGUGUCAGAGGAUGGUGGAAUUCCCGGUGUAGCGGUGAAAUGCGUAGAGAUUGGGAGGAACAUCAGUGGCGAAGGCGGCCAUCUGGGACAACACUGACGCUGAGGCACGAAAGCGUGGGGAGCAAACAGGAUUAGAUACCCCAGUAGUCCCUGUCUCUUAUAC